GAUGAACGCUGGCGGCGUGCCUAAUACAUGCAAGUCGAGCGAACAGACGCCGAGUUUGCUCCUCUCACGUUAGCCGCGGACGUGUGAGUAACACGUGGAUCACCUACCUAUAAUCCUGGUAUAACUUCGGGAAACCGGAUCUAAUCCCGGAUAAUAUCUUGAACCGCAUGGUUCAAUAAGGAAAUACGGUUUUGCUGUCACUUAUAGAUGGAUCCUCGCCGCAUUAGCUAUUUGGUAAGGUAACGGCCUACCAAGGCAAGGAUGCGUAGACGACCUGAGAGGGGGAUCGGCCACACUGGAACGGAGACACGGUCCAGACGCCUGCGAGAGGCAGCAGUCGGGAACGUUACGCAAUGGGCGAGAGCCUGGCGGAGCAGGGGGGAGUGAGAGAUGAAGGUGUUCGGUGCGUAAAAAUCGGUUUCUAGGGAAGAACAACUGUCUAAGUAAAUAUGCAUGUCUUGACGGUACAUAAUCAGAAAGCAACAGCUAACUACGUG
RNAcentral lists this ribosomal RNA (497 nucleotides) under uncultured bacterium. Its description in RNAcentral is "partial 16S ribosomal RNA". It matches the Rfam family "Bacterial small subunit ribosomal RNA", at positions 28 to 507 of the family's 1533-position model. The record is from RNAcentral.